RNAcentral lists this ribosomal RNA (450 nucleotides) under uncultured bacterium. Its description in RNAcentral is "partial 16S ribosomal RNA". It matches the Rfam family "Bacterial small subunit ribosomal RNA", at positions 354 to 796 of the family's 1533-position model. The record is from RNAcentral.
GUGGGGAAUCUUCCGCAAUGGACGAAAGUCUGACGGAGCAACGCCGCGUGAGUGAAGAAGGUUUUCGGAUCGUAAAGCUCUUUCGUUAGGGACGAACGUGCUCUUUGUGAAUAAUGAGGAGUAAUGACGGUACCUAAAUAAGAAGCCACGGCUAACUACGUGCCAGCAGCCGCGGUAAUACGUAGGUGACAAGCGUUGUCCGGAAUUAUUGGGCGUAAAGCGCGCGCAGGCGGGAUAUCAAGUCUGUCUUAAAAGUGCGAGGCUCAACCUCGUGAGGGGACAGAAACUGGUAUUCUUGAGUGUCGGAGAGGAAAGUGGAAUUCCAAGUGUAGCGGUGAAAUGCGUAGAGAUUUGGAAGAACACCAGUGGCGAAGGCGACUUUCUGGACGAUGUCUGACGCUGAGGCGCGAAAGCUAGGGGAGCGAACGGGAUUAGAAACCCGUGUAGUCC